GCUGUUAGCACGUCGUGUGGUCAGGUGUCAGGACAAGCGGGCGUGAGCGCGCCUCCGCCCUGGAGAAUGGAUGUGCUACAGCUGUGCGCGGCGUGAUCAAGCACCUCGGGUGGACGACACACCUCCCAGUGGCCAGCUGGGGCCUGAGGGCUGGAAGUACUUGCCCGGCUCGUCUCUCUGUAGGUUUGGUCAUCGGCCUUGCAGCUGCCCUGGUGCUUGCAGAUUGCAGUUUGAUGGACUAGGCAGUUUUCAUCUCUUACAUAGCCAGCGGUUCAGCACUGAGUCAUGCUUGCUUCUGCUACGCACUGGUUUGUUCUAUUCCAGUUUCCACAUAUAUCGUUUUGGUGACAUCUCUGCGUUAUCAUUUAUUUAUAUGGAGUGUAUUUUCUCCAAAACUUCUCUACGAGGGAAUGCAUCUGCUCAUUACAGCUGCUGUCUGUGUAUUCUUCACGGCAAUGGAUCAAACCAGACUCACACAAUCUUAGACUAAGCUGAACACUGGAAAAAUAAUACAUGCGUAAAGUCUGCUGUUAUUCUAAAAGGAAAGAUGUGAUUUCAACAAAGUUGAUGAAUACCUUUCUUUGACUACUGUACCUGAAUUUAGACUAAGCAGUAAAUAGUUUAAUAAAAGAUCACUUUAAUACA
RNAcentral lists this small RNA (645 nucleotides) under Pongo abelii (Sumatran orangutan). RNAcentral's name for it is "processed transcript". The record is from RNAcentral. Lineage: Eukaryota; Metazoa; Chordata; Mammalia; Primates; Hominidae.